GCGAGGUUUAGCAAAUCUCUUAAAGCCGUUCUCAGUUCGGAUUGUAGGCUGCAACUCGCCUACAUGAAGUCGGAAUCGCUAGUAAUCGCGGAUCAGCAUGUCGCGGUGAAUACGUUCCCGGGCCUUGUACACACCGCCCGUCACACCAUGAGAGUCGAUAACACCCGAAGCCUGUGAGCUAACCUUAGGGAGGCAGCAGUCGAAGGUGGGGUUGAUGAUUAGGGUGAAGUCGUAACAAGGUAAC
Molecule: ribosomal RNA, 244 nt
Filed under: uncultured bacterium
Lineage: Bacteria
Description: partial 16S ribosomal RNA
Rfam family: Bacterial small subunit ribosomal RNA
Source: RNAcentral